Molecule: ribosomal RNA, 305 nt
Filed under: uncultured bacterium
Lineage: Bacteria
Description: bacterial SSU rRNA
Rfam family: Bacterial small subunit ribosomal RNA
Source: RNAcentral
UCCUACGGGGGGCAGCAGUGGGGAAUAUUGCACAAUGGGGGAAACCCUGAUGCAGCAACGCCGCGUGAGUGAAGAAGUAUUUCGGUAUGUAAAGCUCUAUCCGCAGGGAAGAAAUAGCGACCUUUGGGUCGCCAGACGGUACCUGACUAAGAAGCCCCGGCUAACUACGUGCCAGCAGCCGCGGUAAUACGUAGGGGGCAAGCGUUAUCCGGAUUUACUGGGUGUAAAGGGAGCGUAGACGGCAGCACAAGUCUGAAGUGAAAUGCCGGGGCUUAACCCCGGACCUGCUUUGGAAACUGUGCAGC